AGCGAACGCUGGCGGCAGGCCUAAUACAUGCAAGUCGAGCGCACCUUCGGGUGAGCGGCGGACGGGUGAGUAACGCGUGGGAAUAUGCCCUUUGGUACGGAACAACUGAGGGAAACUUCAGCUAAUACCGUAUGUGCCCUUCGGGGGAAAGAUUUAUCGCCAUUGGAGUAGCCCGCGUUGGAUUAGCUAGUUGGUAGGGUAAAGGCCUACCAAGGCUACGAUCCAUAGCUGGUCUGAGAGGAUGAUCAGCCACAUUGGGACUGAGACACGGCCCAAACUCCUACGGGAGGCAGCAGUAGGGAAUCUUGCGCAAUGGGCGAAAGCCUGACGCAGCCAUGCCGCGUGAAUGAUGAAGGUCUUAGAUUGUAAAUUCUUUCACCGGGAAGAUAAUGACGGUACCCGGAGAAGAAGCCCCCGGCUAACUUCGUGCCAGCCGCCG
RNAcentral lists this ribosomal RNA (439 nucleotides) under uncultured bacterium. RNAcentral's name for it is "bacterial SSU rRNA". It matches the Rfam family "Bacterial small subunit ribosomal RNA", at positions 29 to 517 of the family's 1533-position model. The record is from RNAcentral.